This 676-nucleotide ribosomal RNA is filed under the name uncultured Alphaproteobacteria bacterium. Its description in RNAcentral is "bacterial SSU rRNA". It matches the Rfam family "Bacterial small subunit ribosomal RNA", at positions 52 to 774 of the family's 1533-position model. The record is from RNAcentral. Lineage: Bacteria; Pseudomonadati; Pseudomonadota; Alphaproteobacteria.
CACAUGCAAGUCGAGCGGGCCCUUCGGGGUCAGCGGCGGACGGGUGAGUAACGCGUGGGAACGUGCCUUCUGGUCUGGAAUAACCCUGGGAAACUAGGGCUAAUACCGGAUACGCCCAUUUGGGGAAAGGUUUACUGCCGGAAGAUCGGCCCGCGUCUGAUUAGCUAGUUGGUGGGGUAACGGCCUACCAAGGCGACGAUCAGUAGCUGGUCUGAGAGGAUGAUCAGCCACACUGGGACUGAGACACGGCCCAGACUCCUACGGGAGGCAGCAGUGGGGAAUAUUGGACAAUGGGCGCAAGCCUGAUCCAGUCAUGCCGCGUGAGUGAUGAAGGCCUUAGGGUUGUAAAGCUCUUUUAUCCGGGACGAUAAUGACGGUACCGGAGGAAUAAGCCCCGGCUAACUUCGUGCCAGCAGCCGCGGUAAUACGAAGGGGGCUAGCGUUGCUCGGAAUCACUGGGCGUAAAGGGCGCGUAGGCGGCGUUUUAAGUCGGGGGUGAAAGCCUGUGGCUCAACCACAGAAUGGCCUUCGAUACUGGGACGCUUGAGUAUGGUAGAGGUUGGUGGAACUGCGAGUGUAGAGGUGAAAUUCGUAGAUAUUCGCAAGAACACCGGUGGCGAAGGCGGCCAACUGGACCAUUACUGACGCUGAGGCGCGAAAGCGUGGGGAGCAAACA